CGGGCGGUAGCUCAGCUUGGUAGAGCUUCCGAGCUUGCCACCGGAGUGUCGCAGGUUCAAAUCCUGCCCGCCCGACCA
RNAcentral lists this transfer RNA (78 nucleotides) under Candidatus Bathyarchaeota archaeon. RNAcentral describes it as "tRNA-Ala". It matches the Rfam family "tRNA". Rfam says of the family: Transfer RNA (tRNA) molecules are approximately 80 nucleotides in length. Their secondary structure includes four short double-helical elements and three loops (D, anti-codon, and T loops). Further hydrogen bonds mediate the characteristic L-shaped molecular structure. tRNAs have two regions of fundamental functional importance: the anti-codon, which is responsible for specific mRNA codon recognition, and the 3' end, to which the tRNAs corresponding amino acid is attached (by aminoacyl-tRNA synthetases). tRNAs cope with the degeneracy of the genetic code in two manners: having more than one tRNA (with a specific anti-codon) for a particular amino acid; and 'wobble' base-pairing, i.e. permitting non-standard base-pairing at the 3rd anti-codon position. Lineage: Archaea; Thermoproteati; Candidatus Bathyarchaeota. The record is from RNAcentral.